This 512-nucleotide ribosomal RNA is filed under the name uncultured Pseudomonadota bacterium. RNAcentral describes it as "bacterial SSU rRNA". It matches the Rfam family "Bacterial small subunit ribosomal RNA", at positions 355 to 856 of the family's 1533-position model. The record is from RNAcentral. Lineage: Bacteria; Pseudomonadati; Pseudomonadota.
UCAGGAAUCUUGGGCAAUGGGCGCAAGCCUGACCCAGCGACGCCGCGUGAGGGAUGAAGGCCUUCGGGUCGUAAACCUCUGUCAGGAGGGAAGAACGGCGGUGAGGUGAACAAUCUCGUCGUCUGACGGUACCUCCCGAAGGAAGCGCCGGCUAACUCCGUGCCAGCAGCCGCGGUAAUACGGAGGGCGCAAGCGUUGUUCGGAAUCACUGGGCGUAAAGCGCGUGUAGGCGGCUUGGCAAGUCGGGUGUGAAAUCCCGAGGCUCAACCUCGGAACUGCACUCGAAACUGCCUGGCUCGAGUCCCGGAGAGGGUGGCGGAAUUCCCGGUGUAGGGGUGAAAUCCGUAGAUAUCGGGAGGAACACCAGUGGCGAAGGCGGCCACCUGGACGGUGACUGACGCUGAGACGCGAAAGCGUGGGGAGCAAACAGGAUUAGAUACCCUGGUAGUCCACGCCGUAAACGGUGAGUGCUAGACGUCGCGGGUAUUGACCCCCGCGGUGUCGCAGCUAAC